UACAAAGGAGGCAAGCGUUAUCCGGAAUUAUUGGGCGUAAAGCGUCCGUAGGUGGUUUGAUAAGUCUUGGGUUAAAUACCGGAGCUCAACUCUGGAUCGGCGCUGGAAACUGUCAGACUUGAGUGAGGUAUAGGUUGACGGAAUUGCCGGUGUAGCGGUGAAAUACGUAGAUAUUGGCAAGAACACCAGCGGUGAAAUCGGACUACUGGGCUAUUACUGACACUGAGGAACGAAAGCAACGGGAGCGAAGGGG
This 253-nucleotide ribosomal RNA is filed under the name uncultured bacterium. RNAcentral describes it as "partial 16S ribosomal RNA". It matches the Rfam family "Bacterial small subunit ribosomal RNA", at positions 524 to 776 of the family's 1533-position model. The record is from RNAcentral.